Molecule: transfer RNA, 72 nt
Filed under: Ictidomys tridecemlineatus (thirteen-lined ground squirrel)
Lineage: Eukaryota; Metazoa; Chordata; Mammalia; Rodentia; Sciuridae
Description: Spermophilus tridecemlineatus (thirteen-lined ground squirrel) tRNA
Rfam family: tRNA
About the family: Transfer RNA (tRNA) molecules are approximately 80 nucleotides in length. Their secondary structure includes four short double-helical elements and three loops (D, anti-codon, and T loops). Further hydrogen bonds mediate the characteristic L-shaped molecular structure. tRNAs have two regions of fundamental functional importance: the anti-codon, which is responsible for specific mRNA codon recognition, and the 3' end, to which the tRNAs corresponding amino acid is attached (by aminoacyl-tRNA synthetases). tRNAs cope with the degeneracy of the genetic code in two manners: having more than one tRNA (with a specific anti-codon) for a particular amino acid; and 'wobble' base-pairing, i.e. permitting non-standard base-pairing at the 3rd anti-codon position.
Source: Rfam by way of RNAcentral
UGGGGUAUAGCUCCAUGGUAGAGCACUUGCCUAGCAUGUGUGAAGCCCUGGGUUUGAUCUCCAGUACCACUG